GCCUCCUGGUGGGGGCAGUAGGGGGUAAUUUGGCACAGUGGGGAGAACCGAGAAGGCAUGGCGGCGGGAGAGGUAAGGUUUUUUGGAGGGUAAAAAAAUGGCUUAAGGGGGGAAAAAAUGACGGUACCCUAGGAACAAGCCCCGGCUAACUACGUGCCAGCAGCCGCGGUAAUACGUAGGGGGCGAGCGUUGUCCGGAAUUACUGGGCGUAAAGGGCGCGUAGGCGGGUUUAUAAGUCAGAUGUGAAAGACCGCGGCUUAACCCCGGGGUUGCAUUUGAAACUGUAUGUCUUGAGUGCAGGAGAGGAAAGUGGAAUUCCUAGUGUAGCGGUGAAAUGCGUAGAUAUCAGGAGGAACACCAGUGGCGAAGGCGACUUUCUGGACUGUAACUGACGCUGAGCGCGAA
RNAcentral lists this ribosomal RNA (405 nucleotides) under uncultured Eubacteriales bacterium. RNAcentral's name for it is "uncultured Clostridiales bacterium partial 16S ribosomal RNA". It matches the Rfam family "Bacterial small subunit ribosomal RNA", at positions 334 to 757 of the family's 1533-position model. The record is from RNAcentral. Lineage: Bacteria; Bacillati; Bacillota; Clostridia; Eubacteriales.